Mizuhopecten yessoensis (Yesso scallop) is the source of this 331-nucleotide long non-coding RNA. RefSeq lists it as uncharacterized. The record is from RefSeq and is a predicted model, not a curated record. The transcript has 3 exons. NCBI's taxonomy places the organism in Eukaryota, Metazoa, Mollusca, Bivalvia, Pectinida, Pectinidae.
GUAUGAGGUAAAGGAAAUUUCCAGUAUUUCACCUACAUAUAUGAAACGCGAGUUUGUCUCGUCAAAAGUCAGUAGUGUUUGUUGAAGGAAUAGGACUAUCUAUAUUUCGGAAUGUUAAGGUGAAUUAAACAUGACGUUCACGGACGGUGACGCUUACUGCGAGGACAUGGAUCCCGAAAAUUUGGCUGUGGUCAACACAGCGAAAGAGCCUUCUGCUGUGGGAAAAUGGGAGAACAGGAACGACAACAUUUUCGAGGAAGAAUUCAACAAUGUGGAAGACCUCUGCGAAGACAUGGAACCAGGGAAUUUGGUUACAAACGAGGAAGCGAAA